This 76-nucleotide transfer RNA is filed under the name Candidatus Erwinia haradaeae. Its description in RNAcentral is "transfer RNA Alanine". It matches the Rfam family "tRNA". Rfam says of the family: Transfer RNA (tRNA) molecules are approximately 80 nucleotides in length. Their secondary structure includes four short double-helical elements and three loops (D, anti-codon, and T loops). Further hydrogen bonds mediate the characteristic L-shaped molecular structure. tRNAs have two regions of fundamental functional importance: the anti-codon, which is responsible for specific mRNA codon recognition, and the 3' end, to which the tRNAs corresponding amino acid is attached (by aminoacyl-tRNA synthetases). tRNAs cope with the degeneracy of the genetic code in two manners: having more than one tRNA (with a specific anti-codon) for a particular amino acid; and 'wobble' base-pairing, i.e. permitting non-standard base-pairing at the 3rd anti-codon position. Lineage: Bacteria; Pseudomonadati; Pseudomonadota; Gammaproteobacteria; Enterobacterales; Erwiniaceae. The record is from RNAcentral.
GGGGUUAUAGCUCAGCUGGGAGAGCGCCUGCUUUGCACGCAGGGGGUCAGCGGUUCGAUCCCGCUUAACUCCACCA